Molecule: unclassified non-coding RNA, 647 nt
Filed under: Enterobacter cloacae
Lineage: Bacteria; Pseudomonadati; Pseudomonadota; Gammaproteobacteria; Enterobacterales; Enterobacteriaceae
Description: partial may contain 16S ribosomal RNA, 16S-23S ribosomal RNA intergenic spacer, and 23S ribosomal RNA
Rfam family: Salmonella enterica Typhi npcRNA 44 (bases 261-368)
Source: RNAcentral
UGGGGCGUCGAUGAUACUCCUUACCUUAAGAACCUGCCUUUGUAGUGCUCACACAGAUUGUCUGAUGAAAAGUAAAUAGCAAGGCGUCUUGCGAUUGAGACUUCAGUGUCCCCUUCGUCUAGAGGCCCAGGACACCGCCCUUUCACGGCGGUAACAGGGGUUCGAAUCCCCUAGGGGACGCCACUUGCUGGUUCGUGAGUGAAAGUCACCUGCCUUAAUAUCUCAAAACUCAUCUUCGGGUGACGUUUGAGAUAUUUGCUCUUUAAAAAUCUGGAUCAAGCUGAAAAUUGAAACGACACACAUGUUAUGUGUGUUCGAGUCUCUCAAAUUUUCGCAAUUUGAUGGUGAAUCGAAAGAAACAUCUUCGGGUUGUGAGGUUAAGCGACUAAGCGUACACGGUGAGCCCUUGGCAAUUCUAGCGUUUUUGUUUUUCUUUGACCUUUAGGUUGUGUGGCUAAGCCACUAAUCUACAAGUGGAUGCCCUGGCAUGGCACGGCAAAGCUGUCUUUCGUUCUCUCUUGAUCUGAUUUUUCAGAUCCAUAUCCUCCCUCUCCCUAAAUGAGGUUUUAUAUUCCUGCGUAGAUUUCUUCCCCCCGUCCCCCUUUCCCUCGGGAUUUAACCCGCUUACCCUGCAAGGCGGCGUCCGG